This 466-nucleotide ribosomal RNA is filed under the name uncultured bacterium. RNAcentral's name for it is "partial 16S ribosomal RNA". It matches the Rfam family "Bacterial small subunit ribosomal RNA", at positions 28 to 507 of the family's 1533-position model. The record is from RNAcentral.
GAUGAACGCUGGCGGCGUGCUUAACACAUGCAAGUCGAACGAUGAAGCCCAGCUUGCUGGGUGGAUUAGUGGCGAACGGGUGAGUAACACGUGAGUAACCUGCCCUUAACUCUGGGAUAAGCCUGGGAAACUGGGUCUAAUACCGGAUAGGAGCGUCCACCGCAUGGUGGGUGUUGGAAAGAUUUAUCGGUUUUGGAUGGACUCGCGGCCUAUCAGCUUGUUGGUGAGGUAAUGGCUCACCAAGGCGACGACGGGUAGCCGGCCUGAGAGGGUGACCGGCCACACUGGGACUGAGAAACGGCCCAGACCCCGACGGGAGGCAGCAGUGGGGAAUAUUGCACAAUGGGCGCAAGCCUGAUGCAGCGACGCCGCGUGAGGGAUGACGGCCUUCGGGUUGUAAACCUCUUUCAGUAGGGAAGAAGCGAAAGUGACGGUACCUGAAGAAGAAGCACCGGCUAACUACGUG